UACGUACGAGGCAAGCGUUAUCCGGAAUUACUGGGCGUAAAGGGCGCGUAGGCGGACAUCUAAGUCAGGGGUGAAAUCCCAGGGCUCAACCCUGGAAUUGCCUUUGAUACUGGACGUCUCGAGUUCGGGAGAGGUGAGUGGAAUUCCGAGUGUAGAGGUGAAAUUCGUAGAUAUUCGGAGGAACACCAGAAGCGAAGGCGGCUCACUGGCCCGAUACUGACGCUGAGGCGCGAAAGCGUGGGGAGCAAACAGG
This 253-nucleotide ribosomal RNA is filed under the name uncultured bacterium. RNAcentral's name for it is "partial 16S ribosomal RNA". It matches the Rfam family "Bacterial small subunit ribosomal RNA", at positions 524 to 776 of the family's 1533-position model. The record is from RNAcentral.